UGGAGGAAAGCAGGGGAUCGUAAGACCUUGCGCUUUUGGAGCGGCCGAUGUCUGAUUAGCUAGUUGGUGGGGUAAUGGCCUACCAAAGCUUCGAUCAGUAGUUGGUCUGAGAGGACGGCCAGCCACACUGGGACUGAGACACGGCCCAGACUCCUACGGGAGGCAGCAGUGGGGAAUUUUGGACAAUGGGCGCAAGCCUGAUCCAGCCAUGCCGCGUGAGUGAAGAAGGCCUUCGGGUUGUAAAGCUCUUUCAGCCGGGAAGAAAAGGCUGCGAUUAAUAAUCGCAGUUCAUGACGGUACCGGAAGAAGAAGCACCGGCUAACUACGUGCCAGCAGCCGCGGUAAUACGUAGGGUGCGAGCGUUAAUCGGAAUUACUGGGCGUAAAGGGUGCGCAGGCGGUUUUGUAAGUCAGAUGUGA
Molecule: ribosomal RNA, 419 nt
Filed under: uncultured ammonia-oxidizing beta proteobacterium
Lineage: Bacteria; Pseudomonadati; Pseudomonadota; Betaproteobacteria
Description: bacterial SSU rRNA
Rfam family: Bacterial small subunit ribosomal RNA
Source: RNAcentral